Talpa occidentalis (Iberian mole) is the source of this 164-nucleotide small nuclear RNA. RefSeq annotates it as U1 spliceosomal RNA. NCBI's taxonomy places the organism in Eukaryota, Metazoa, Chordata, Mammalia, Eulipotyphla, Talpidae. The record is from RefSeq and is a predicted model, not a curated record. The transcript has a single exon.
AUUCUUUCCUGUCAGAGGAGAUACCGAGAUCACUAAGGUGGUUUUCCCAGGGCCACAUUCACCUAUUGCACUCCGGAUGUGCUGACCCCUACAAUUUCCCUAAAUGUUAGAAACUUGACUGCAUGAUUUGUGGUAGCAAGGGACUACAUUCUUGUUUCCCCCAA